UACGUAGGGGGCAAGCGUUAUCCGGAUUUACUGGGUGUAAAGGGAGCGCAGGCGGUGCGGCAAGUCUGAUGUGAAAGCCCGGGGCUCAACCCCGGGACUGCAUUGGAAACUGUCGUACUUGAGUAUCGGAGAGGUAAGUGGAAUUCCUAGUGUAGCGGUGAAAUGCGUAGAUAUUAGGAGGAACACCAGUGGCGAAGGCGGCUUACUGGACGAUAACUGACGCUGAGGCUCGAAAGCGUGGGGAGCAAACAGG
This 253-nucleotide ribosomal RNA is filed under the name Roseburia faecis M72/1. RNAcentral's name for it is "partial 16S ribosomal RNA". It matches the Rfam family "Bacterial small subunit ribosomal RNA", at positions 524 to 776 of the family's 1533-position model. Lineage: Bacteria; Bacillati; Bacillota; Clostridia; Lachnospirales; Lachnospiraceae. The record is from RNAcentral.